GCAAGUUGAGCGCUUCCUAGCUAUGUUGGAAGAGCAGCAAACGGCUCCAUAACACGUAGUUAAUCUGCCCUUAGGACAGACAUAACCUUGGGAAACUGAGGUUAAUAUCUGAUAGGUGGAAACGCCUGGAAUGGUCUUCCGCUUAAAGGUUCAUGGAAACAUGCUUCUAAGAAUGCCUAAGGAUGAGACUGCGGCCGAUCAGGCUGUUGGUGAGGUAACGGCUCACCAAACCUAUAACCGGUACGGGCCCUGAGAGGGGGAGCCCGGAGAUGGGAACUGAGACAAGGUCCCAGGCCCUACGGGGCGCAGCAGGCGCGAAACCUCCACAAUGCGCGAAAGCGUGAUGGGGUUACCCCGAGUGCCGUCCGUUGAGGAGGGCUUUUCCCCAGUGUAAGGAGCUGGGGGAAUAAAGGGGGGGCAAGACUGGUGUCAGCCGCCGCGGUAAUACCAGCCCCCUGAGUUAUAGGGACGAUUAUUUAGCCUAAAGCGUUCGUAGCCGGCUUUGCAAGUCUUUCGUUAAAUCUAACGACUCAAUCGUUAGGCCGCGGAAGAUACUGCUAGGCUUGAGGGCGGGAGAGGUCGACGGUAGUCCCGGGGUAGGGGUGAAAUCCAAUAAUCCCGGGAGGACCACCAGUGGCGAAGGCGGUCGACCAGAACGCGCCUGACGGUGAUGGACGAAAGCUGGGGGGAGCGAACCGGAUUAGACACCCGGGUAGUCCCAGCUGUAAACGAUGCGAGCUA
This 741-nucleotide ribosomal RNA is filed under the name uncultured Bathyarchaeota archaeon. RNAcentral's name for it is "bacterial SSU rRNA". It matches the Rfam family "Archaeal small subunit ribosomal RNA", at positions 53 to 769 of the family's 1478-position model. The record is from RNAcentral. Lineage: Archaea; Thermoproteati; Candidatus Bathyarchaeota.